Molecule: ribosomal RNA, 403 nt
Filed under: Verrucomicrobiota bacterium
Lineage: Bacteria; Pseudomonadati; Verrucomicrobiota
Description: Verrucomicrobia bacterium partial 16S ribosomal RNA
Rfam family: Bacterial small subunit ribosomal RNA
Source: RNAcentral
UGGGGAAUUUUGCACAAUGGGGGAAACCCUGAUGCAGCGACGCCGCGUGAUUUAGAAGGCCUUCGGGUUGUAAAAAUCUUUUGUAUGGGAAGAAAAUGACAGUACCAUACGAAUAAGGACCGGCUAAUUCCGUGCCAGCAGCCGCGGUAAUACGGAAGGUCCGGGCGUUAUCCGGAUUUAUUGGGUUUAAAGGGAGCGUAGGCUGUCUAUUAAGCGUGUUGUGAAAUUUACCGGCUCAACCGGUGGCUUGCAGCGCGAACUGGUCGACUUGAGUAUGCAGGAAGUAGGCGGAAUUCAUGGUGUAGCGGUGAAAUGCUUAGAUAUCAUGACGAACUCCGAUUGCGCAGGCAGCUUACUGUAGCAUAACUGACGCUGAUGCUCGAAAGUGCGGGUAUCAAACAGG